CAGGGUAUAGCUCAGUGGUAGAGUGCGAUGCUUAGCAUGCAUUAGGUCCUGGGUUCAAUCCCCAGGACUCCAU
This 73-nucleotide transfer RNA is filed under the name Camelus bactrianus (Bactrian camel). It matches the Rfam family "tRNA". From Rfam's summary of the family: Transfer RNA (tRNA) molecules are approximately 80 nucleotides in length. Lineage: Eukaryota; Metazoa; Chordata; Mammalia; Artiodactyla; Camelidae. RNAcentral also lists the same sequence under 2 other names. The record is from Rfam by way of RNAcentral.